CAGUCUUGCGCCGCGUCCGCAGCCGGUCGGACCGCGAAACCGCCGAGUGUCCUGUGCCAAGCAGACCAAAAAAAUUUUUGGUGUUUUUUUUUUGGCGACGCACUACGAAUCCGGCAACACGUCCAAAUUCCCGCGCAGAAGAUUCGGCUCCGCCGGGAUGGAGGAGGAGGAGGAGGAGUCCCAAUCGGAGCGAUUGACGGUCAGGUCUUCGAGAACGGUCACCCACUCCUCCUUCACGUCGUUCGACGAGACCGUCGUAACUGGUCGAGGCACGCUGAGGAGGAUGGGAGGCUCGGAGUGCGAAGACCUGCCCGGCCUCUUGCCCAACACCCUCCGACCGGCGGACAGUCCCGGGGCCAGCUCAAGGAGCAUGGACUGCAUACGGCAGGAGCAGAGGAGCUUCAUCGAGAGGGGGAGCGAAGUGAGGAGGUUCGCAAGGUCUUUCGGCUCCAAGGGAAGCCACGAGUCGUUCGAGGAGGUCGAGAGAAAGAAGGCCGUCUUCACGAGUCCCGCCGUCCGCCUAGUUCCGUCCCACCUCUCACUCGCGCCCCCCGGCACCGAGAGGAAGCUGACCAUACUCAGCCCAGGAUGGGGCCCCGACCAUCCCAAGAUGAGGAAACCGCAGAUCGCCCUGCCAAGGCUCAUCCUGCCCACGCCGGACCAGCAGAGUUGGGGCUUCGAUGUGGAGAAUGGAGGGAGCGGCGGCGGGGGCGGUGUCGGGAGGGCGGACGGCGCAGCAUCCCCCUCGGCCGUCCUUCUUCUGCAGAACCUGCCGCAGCGGAGGGAGUCCUUCCUCUACAGGUCCGAUUCGGACUUCGAGGUCUCGCCGAAGAGCAUGUCGAGGCAUUCCAGCAUCGCAAGCGAAAGAUUGAAAGAAGCAGAGCCUCCUGUCUUAGAGAGACCCCAUGGGGAAGAUCUCAUCGUCACGCCCUUCGCCCAGAUCCUGGCCAGCCUCAGGAGUGUGCGGAAUAACUUCCUGUCCCUCACAAACCUACCAACAAACAAAUCGAGAAGAUCUUCCGGUACAGGGAGCACGACCCCGCAGCCGAGGAUAUUCACUCCAGGAGACGAGGCGUACAUGAAGCUGUCCCUCGAGACCAUGGAGGAAUUAGACUGGUGUCUGGACCAGUUGGAAACCAUCCAGACGCACAGGAGCGUCUCGGAUAUGGCAUCCCUCAAGUUCAAGAGGAUGCUGAACAAAGAACUGAGCCACUUUUCCGAAUCGAGCAAAUCUGGGAACCAGAUCUCGGAGUACAUCUGUUCCACUUUCUUGGACAAGCAGCAAGAGCUGGACCUUGCGGCUAUGGAAGAGAGGUCACCGCAGAGGCCGACGGCAGCCCGAGUCCCAGGUGGCCGGGUCGUCCCGAUGAGCCACAUCUCCGGGGUGAAAAGAACCCUCACCCACGCCAACAGCCUCACCGGUGACGCCCUGCCAAAAUACGGCGUUCAAACCCCGCACGAACCGCAACUCGGCCAGAUGCUCUUGGAUAUCGACAGAUGGGGCGUGGAUAUAUUCAGGAUAGGCGAUUUAUCCAUGAAUAAACCUCUGACGGUCAUAGCCUACGCCUCGUUUCAGAGCCGAGAUCUACUCAAAACGUUCAUGAUACCGGCGAAAACCUUCAUUACUUUCAUGCUUACCGUCGAGGAACACUACGUCAAGGACAACCCGUUCCACAACAGCACGCAUGCGGCGGACGUGACACAGUCGACACACGUACUUCUCAACACGCCCGCUUUAGAGGGCGUUUUCACACCCCUGGAAACGAUGGCAGCUCUGUUCGCAGCGACGAUACACGACGUCGACCACCCUGGCCUCACGAAUCAAUUCUUAGUGAAUACAAGUUCCGAGCUGGCUUUGAUGUACAACGACGAGUCCGUUCUUGAGAACCACCACCUGGCCGUUGCGUUCAAGCUGCUGCAGAACGAAGGCUGCGAUAUAUUCCUCAACCUGAACAAGAAGCAGAGGCAGACUUUAAGGAAGAUGGCCAUCGACAUGGUGUUAUCGACGGACAUGUCGAAGCAUAUGAGCCUCCUGGCCGACCUGAAGACUAUGGUCGAGACGAAGAAGGUGGCGGGAAGCGGUGUCCUCCUGUUGGACAACUACACGGACCGCAUUCAAGUCUUGGAGAACCUGGUCCACUGCGCCGACCUGAGCAACCCGACCAAGCCGUUACCACUUUAUCAAAGGUGGGUGGCACUACUCAUGGAGGAGUUCUUCCAGCAGGGGGACAAGGAGAGAGAAGCCAACAUGGAUAUCAGCCCGAUGUGCGACAGGCACUCGGCCACGGUCGAAAAGUCGCAGGUCGGCUUCAUCGACUACAUCGUCCACCCGCUCUGGGAGACGUGGGCCGACCUCGUACACCCGGACGCCCAGGACAUCCUCGACAUGCUCGAAGAGAACAGGGACUGGUACCAAACUGCAAACGAAAAGAUCGACGAAGCCUUAAGACAGUAUGCAAAUCAAACAAAUAUCGAAUAGAGAAAAACCCAGCAUGAUUCCGCCCAGCCCGCCGUCCUCAGAGCAGAAAGACGACGAGGGCGACGACUCAAAGGGUGAAAGGACUCACGAAGACAUCAGGUUUCAAGUGACGCUGGAAGAAGGAGAAGGCGAUGAAUCGUCUACGAUGUGACGCUCGUUCGCCAAUAUCUGUCAUAAAUUAACACAAAAGAUGCAUCUCUGGUGGAGGUUCAAGUGAGGCCGACCUGCCCCAUACUUACAGAAGAGGGAAAAAGGGGGAAAAAGAAGAAAGAAGAAAAAAAUACAAAAAAAUCCGUUAGUUUGUAAACAAGUGGUGAAGUUGGACAAAACUUACAAAAACAAUCCCAUCACCCCACCCAAUCUAUUUUGUUAAAUUACAAACAAAAAAUUAAUAAUUAAUUAAUUUUUGUUUAAAUAAUUUCGAGGGGUUUAUUUUUGUCUUCAGGGCGUAGCGGGCAUUUUUCUCUUGUUUAAUUAAUUACUCAAACGUCAUAUCGAGGGGUGGAAUAUUAUUAGUGAAAAAUUGUUAAUUUUUUUAAAUUAAUUAAUUAGGGAUAAUAAUUAUUUAAAGUAUCAACCGUCUUCUAAAGAGCUUCCCUCACCCCAAACGGGACUGGGCAGAGAAUACCGCCCACCAAAAACUACCCCCUCGCCAUCGCCCCCCGCGGAAAAAGUUUUCUUGUUUGUUUUUUUAAAUUAUUCAAUUAAUUAAUUAUUGUCUCGUUCGUGAGACCGAAUUUUUGGAAAAAUCUGUCGGCCGUUUCCCCCGUACGGAGAUCCGCGGCACGCGCUGGUACGCUCCGAGCUCUCCGACGGCCUGGGAAAGCCAAAAAGGGACACAAAAAAGUAUAUAAAUGAAUUUUGAAACAUUUACCAAACAAAAAACUUUUUUGAAUUAAUUUUUUAUUACGAGAAAAGUGGUUUUUAUUAUUUAUAUGGAAAAAAGGAAAUACCAUACCACUUCCCCCACCACUUUACCCCCACUCUUGUCUUUUAAUUUUUAAGCAUACACAUAUAAAUAGUUUUUGCGAUUGUAAAUAAAUAGACAAAAAACUUAUAAAUAUAUAUUUAGCGAAGGGAAAAAGAGAAUAUAUUCCAUUGUAGUGGAGGGUGAUCACUUC
RNAcentral lists this unclassified non-coding RNA (3600 nucleotides) under Cimex lectularius (bed bug). Its description in RNAcentral is "cAMP-specific 3',5'-cyclic phosphodiesterase, transcript variant X6". The record is from RNAcentral. Lineage: Eukaryota; Metazoa; Arthropoda; Insecta; Hemiptera; Cimicidae.